GACAAACACAAGGACGUUGCAAGCCUGGGUGAAACCUCAUGGCCUCAGGCUAUCUCUGCUGCAGUUGCAGGGCAUCCCCUGUGCCCCGCACCACACCAUCCCCAGGGGCUUCCCAAAAGGCCCUUGGGAUCUCCCCGGUGGGCCAGGGGCUCUAUUCCCACCAGAGCUGUGCAACUGCAAGCUCAACUUUGGAGAAUAGGUCUUCCAGUAAGCCCAAGGUCCUGGCCAAGUUGGAGGAGAGGGGCUCCAGAGUUUUAACCCUUGUGAUCUUCUGCUCCUUACCAGAUGCAGGUCCCAGGUGAGCAGUUCCUCCUCAGCAGAGAUCCUGGAUUACUUACAGGAAGAGAGCUUAGCACCUACUGCCACGGGCUCCCUGUUGCUUGGUGUAAUUUGGCCCAGCCCCACAGCAUGGAGGGGUCGAGAUGAGCUCCUGCCUCAUCGCCCAUGGCUAUAAGGAGGUGGUACCACACCGCCUGCUCCACAGAGCAGCAUUUAGUGUAGACAGAGUACUGCGACUGCAUGCUCAUGUCAGCAGCAUGAGCUGGAGGUUUGUGCAACUGGAAGCCAAGAUGAAGAGGCUGAAGCAAGGAACAGAGGAACACAAGGCAAGCAGGAGAGCCAGGCACCGUGGCACCGUACAGCCAUGCUCUGGUCCUGGGUCCUGCCCACUGCAUCUCUGGAUUUCAGAUGCAUCCCAGCUACCAGCAAGAGAAUUGCUGUGAAUACCUCCACCAGAAGCUGUCUCAUACCAAAAGAAUGGCUCUGCAGUUUGAAAGAAGCAGGAGGUCCUAGGCAAACUGCUGUUGCAGUUUUUUUCCUUCCUUAUCCAGCCCUGUCUCUGAAGCAGUGCCUGCUGCUCCAGCUGUCCUGUAGCACCUGAAGCCAGCUCAUUCCCUGCUCCCUGGGGGAGAGCAGGAGGCCGUGGCUGCAGGGGAGAGGCAGAGCCAGGCACUUGGAGACCUUCUGCUGAGGCCUGAGCCAGCCCAAGGGGGAUGUGUUACUUUGGACAGUGGCUCAGUCCCCAGCUGCCACCAGGUCUGGAGUCACAGUCCAGGGAGCAAAGCCAGGAUGAGAACAGCGUCCCCGGCUCUCCCUGACUGAGGGCACUGUCCUACCCACCAAUGAAGCAGUGCUCCAGUUUGGUGUUACAGGGGUAAUUGUGAGCUGUCAGGAGAACUUGUUGUGCUCCUGUUUCUUGCAGCAGUGCCUGGAGCCCACAGCCAGAUGUGGGACUCCUGCUAGUCUGAGGUGCAGGGACCAUUGGACAUUAUAUCCUCCCCCCAAGGAGCCUCUAGACCUGUACUGGGCCACAGAGCACCUGCCAGAGCAGCAGAGCACAGGAGGAAGAUGUUUGAGCUACUGAUGCAGCUGGGGAAGAAAGUGUUGUACUGCACAGCUGCUGUAGCCAGAGUAGUGUGUGCUAAGCCUUGUAUGAGCUACUGUACCUGGAGAAUUCCAGCAGCAAUAAAUAACGUGCCUUUUGAGUUGUGGGGGAGGAAUCCAGAGAUAGAGCAAGCUCUGGCUCUUGCCCUGGUAACUGCUGCCACACAGCAGUGCCCUCUUCAACUUGCAUGCAGCACAAGAAUCCAGAGUCAGGGCAACAGCCCCUCCCUGGUCAGCCCAUCUCACUCCUGCCUUUCCCAGAGGAAAGCAGGAUAUCCUGGUCAGUCACAGCCCA
Pseudopipra pipra is the source of this 1678-nucleotide long non-coding RNA. RefSeq lists it as uncharacterized. The transcript has 3 exons. Lineage: Eukaryota; Metazoa; Chordata; Aves; Passeriformes; Pipridae. The record is from RefSeq and is a predicted model, not a curated record.